RNAcentral lists this ribosomal RNA (219 nucleotides) under Megalomyrmex sp. CSG15.01. Its description in RNAcentral is "partial large subunit ribosomal RNA". Lineage: Eukaryota; Metazoa; Arthropoda; Insecta; Hymenoptera; Formicidae. The record is from RNAcentral.
GAAUUUAAUAUAAAAAUUUAUAAUUAAUUUAAUUAGUUAAAAUUAAUAUAAGUAUUUAUAUUUAAUUGGGAGGAUUGUUAAAUUUGAAUAACUUUAAUUAAAAUAUAUAAUAUAAAUUAAUGAGUUUAAGAUGGAUUAUAAAAAAUUAAAUAAGAAUUAAUUACCUUAGGGAUAACAGCAUAAUAUUUUUGGAGAGAUCUUAUCGAUAAAAAUGUUUGU